This 277-nucleotide ribosomal RNA is filed under the name uncultured bacterium. Its description in RNAcentral is "partial 16S ribosomal RNA". It matches the Rfam family "Bacterial small subunit ribosomal RNA", at positions 15 to 294 of the family's 1533-position model. The record is from RNAcentral.
GAUCCUGGCUCAGGAUGAACGCUGGCGGCGCGCCUAACACAUGCAAGUCGAACGGCACCUAUCUUCGUAUAGAAGCGAGUGGCGAACGGCUGAGUAACACGUGGAGAACCUGCCCCCCUCCCCCGGGAUAGCCGCCCGAAAGGACGGGUAAUACCGGAUACCCCGGGGUGCCGCAUGGCACCCCGGCUAAAGCCCCGACGGGAGGGGAUGGCUCCGCGGCCCAUCAGGUAGACGGCGGGGUGACGGCCCACCGUGCCGACAACGGGUAGCCGGGUUG